GUGGGGAAUAUUGGACAAUGGGCGAAAGCCUGAUCCAGCCAUGCCGCGUGUGUGAAGAAGGUCUUCGGAUUGUAAAGCACUUUAAGUUGGGAGGAAGGGCAGUAAGCUAAUACCUUGCUGUUUUGACGUUACCGACAGAAUAAGCACCGGCUAACUUCGUGCCAGCAGCCGCGGUAAUACGAAGGGUGCAAGCGUUAAUCGGAAUUACUGGGCGUAAAGCGCGCGUAGGUGGUUCAGCAAGUUGGAGGUGAAAUCCCCGGGCUCAACCUGGGAACUGCCUCCAAAACUACUGAGCUAGAGUACGGUAGAGGGUAGUGGAAUUUCCUGUGUAGCGGUGAAAUGCGUAGAUAUAGGAAGGAACACCAGUGGCGAAGGCGACUACCUGGACUGAUACUGACACUGAGGUGCGAAAGCGUGGGGAGCAAACAGGAUUAGAUACCCCAGUAGUCC
Molecule: ribosomal RNA, 450 nt
Filed under: uncultured bacterium
Lineage: Bacteria
Description: bacterial SSU rRNA
Rfam family: Bacterial small subunit ribosomal RNA
Source: RNAcentral